RNAcentral lists this ribosomal RNA (229 nucleotides) under uncultured Ruminococcus sp. Its description in RNAcentral is "partial 16S ribosomal RNA". It matches the Rfam family "Bacterial small subunit ribosomal RNA", at positions 127 to 355 of the family's 1533-position model. Lineage: Bacteria; Bacillati; Bacillota; Clostridia; Eubacteriales; Oscillospiraceae. The record is from RNAcentral.
UGCCUCAUACAGGGGGAGUAACGGUUAGAAAUGGCUGCUAAUACCGCAUAAGCGCACGGUACUGCAUGGUACAGUGUGAAAAACUCCGGUGGUAUGAGAUGGACCCGCGUUGGAUUAGCUAGUUGGCAGGGUAACGGCCUACCAAGGCGACGAUCCAUAGCCGGCCUGAGAGGGUGGACGGCCACAUUGGGACUGAGACACGGUCCAGACUCCUACGGGAGGCAGCAGC